Haemorhous mexicanus (house finch) is the source of this 184-nucleotide long non-coding RNA. RefSeq lists it as uncharacterized. Lineage: Eukaryota; Metazoa; Chordata; Aves; Passeriformes; Fringillidae. The transcript has 2 exons. The record is from RefSeq and is a predicted model, not a curated record.
CACCGCCCCGACACCGCCCGGACCCGCGAACCGCGGCCGCGCACCGGCGUUCCGGGGGCAGCGCGUUCCGGGAGCGGAGGGGAGAGGGGACGGGGGAUGAGGAGUGACAUCGAGGGUCUGAGGUCAGAGUCUUCCUUGCCCACACACAAACGUGCUGCAAAGAGGAGGAAGAGGAAGAAGAAAA